ACCAUUUGAUACCAUCUGUUUCUCACACACAUCCAUGAGGGAAGAAUCAUUCCCAUUUAACAGACAAUGUAACUGGGCCUGAAUAUAGCUCAGCGACUUGCCCCAGGCCCACCAGGAAGUGGAUAAAGCCAUGCUCAACCCAGCACUUCUUCUCUCUACCUUCCACCGAUCCUGCCUGCUCAUCUUCCCUCCUUGGUGAAGGCAUGUGUGCUGUGCUCUGCUUAACUAAUUUCCCUCAGAUAUUCGCAUUUCUGUCUUUACAAUUUGGCAUCCCAGUGAGGUUUCCCUUUGUAUAUUUUCCGGUUCCUAUAUUCCCAUUAUUCAGGUAUCAUCACUCAAUAACCAUUUGACAGCAGUAAUGCUUUUCACAUGGAAAGAAUUGGGUUUUUAUUGAUGGCAAAUGUUGUGAUGAACUUUCAUGCCCACUUGGAGCCGGAGCACUUUUUUAUAGAAUGAACCACAAUGAGAAGCGUUUCCAAGAAAUGUCUUUGGAGUGUGGACUGAGAUGUACGUUUAGGAACAGGUCCUGUGGCCAGAGUGGGGAGAGAGGGGGCUUCCCAUUGUCAAAAUCUCAUCAAUCAAAAUGUAUAAUAGCAACAUUAUUAAUAACCCUAUAGUUGCAUUGCACUUGGUGCUCUUCCAAGCACUUCCCUAGAAUCCUAAAAUGAAGGCAGGGCAGAUAUUAUAUCCAUGUUACAGGUUAAACAACAUUGUAACAGGACUGAUAACACCAUGAAUGAGAAGUCAUUUGAUCAAUGGCCAAGGCAAUCCCCCCAGCCUGAGCUACUUCCCAGACCAGACCACAGAAGCAAGGCCAUGCUCACCGAGGACCCCACUUGUGGACUAGACUUCUGUCCUGCUGUGGCCUCAAAAGCAAUAGCCAGGGCCCCAUGAUGAAGCUGCCAUCAGAAGCACAGGUGUGCCUGGCAAGGACACAGGAGGACCACGGCUCCAUGCCGAUGAGAAUGGCAGCUAAGUCUGAAGCUUUCUAUGAUUUAGAUUCCUGGUUGCGAGAGGGAGCCUAUAGGAAUGGCGAGAAGAGUGAGAACUUUGCAGAGGCAGCAAGGCCUUGGAAGCAAAGCCCCCAGGAAUGACUGGAAGACAACACUCUGCAGACCCCUUCCACAGGGUACCCCUGCUCUCCAGGAAGGGCCUUCAGGGCAGCAUUUGGAGGUGGCAUGAGCUAGCAGCGGCGUGCAGCCUGGUCACUGUCUGAUCUGGUCAGCCCAGCCGCACAGAACACCACACAGGCUCUGGCAGCUCCCUGGGAAAGAAGAAAGCAGCAUCUUGCAUGUGUGGCUUAUUCUGAAAGGAAUAGUAUCUGAGGGAUUUGAUGGACUCUGACAGGGGGAAGAAGGUAGUGAAAAAGAUGGAACAAAGAUGCCAUUUAAAAAUACUGGCUCGUGUUCAGGAUUUCGCUAUUUUUUACUGCAAGGAACAAGUAAAAAAAAAAAUCCUCCUAUUGAUGAGUAUUUUUCUACAGUCAUUAAAAGUCAAAGGACUCAGGGCUUCCGACUUUCCCUCUUGGGAAACCUGUAAGCUCGUCUUCUGGACAGCUUAGAAAAGGGCUGGAUGGCGAAGGCGAGAGGCUUAAAGGCCCCCAGCAAGCAGCUCCGCCGAGGAACGGGUGCAGGGGACACACUGUGUUUUCAGUUCAGAUUCUGUGAUCUUUCUGCCAAACAGGGGUUUACAAAGCAAAAACCUCCAGAGAAUUCUCAUACUUUCUGGCUUAUUCUCCUGGUGUUCGUCUUAACAGGAAUCAGCUGUUUGCCUUCUCACUUAUACAGCAUGUUGCUGAGGCGAAUUUAGCAUCUGGCCUGGCUAUUAUUAAAAACAAGAACAUCCUGCUCUGUUGGGAGAACAGCACCACUGGCAAUAAAAGGACAGAGAUCAUUUGCAUUCAGGAUUCCAGAGAUGUGUUUCAGUUCAAUAUCUGCGCUCCCUCCUUCCACCCCUGCUUUCAUUUUAAGAUUUCCUGAUGCAUCCAUCACUUGCAGCGUGGUCAACUUUUUUUCUGAAACAGGCACACACAGGCAGAGCAUAUUUUUUCCUUUCACUGGGAGGCAGGAAUGACUGGAGUUGUUCAAACACCGGUCCGUUCCUGCAAUUCCUAUGAUAAAGUUGAACUACCAGAGGAAUUUUUUUUUUUUUUUUUACAACUGCGGAAAUGAAAAAGUAAACAAGACUGGGACUGCAUUGGUAUUUAGGCUCCAGCUUUUUGUUGUUGUUUUUGUCUUUCCCUUUUUUUAAGCCAUUGGGCUAGGAGCCUGAAGGGACCAUAUAAUAUGAAAAACGCUGAGAGGUUUUAUUAGCCAAUAAAAAAAAAAACUGAGUUCCUAUUAACCACUUAACUCCUUGCUGAAGUUCAAACUUGCUUUCUCCUUGGAUCCUUCUCUCCCUCUCAUGCCCACGAGGAAUGACGGUUGGUUCACCAAUCUUUCCCUGCACAACCUGAGCUCACAGUUUGUGCUCCAGAAGGUGUGGUUGAGAAUCGUAUUCAAUAAUAAUCUCUGUAUUUCUCAUCUGUGAAGCCAUAAAUAAGAUUUCUGUAAGGAGCCAAAUGUUCUACGCCCCCAAAUCUACACACACAAAGACUCUUUAAGCACUCUACUAAAAAAGAGUAAAGUCAUUGUGAUUUCUAGGAUUUUAAAUACUAAAUGAUGGUUAGGGAGAACAAAAUCAGGCUGAAGCAUUUCUGGGAUAAAUAAUGAUCCCACAAAACGCUCCUCUCAUUUGGGGGCAGAAGAAUGAAGGGAAACUCACAGAGAAACAGAAAAUGAAAUUGGUCCAACUAUUUCACUGCUGGAGAUAGAUGGAGUUAGGAUACAUAGGUGACUUGGUUUAGGAAAGAGAGGAUGUCGAAGGUGAUUUAAAUCCUAACACUGUUUUAUUAAUCGUGCCACAAUUCUACAUGUCAUGUGAUUUUGUUAUCUGCUUUUUGCUGCUUUUAAAUAAAUUUGUACUUUUCUAUCAAUCCAUCAUCCAAUUGUGUUUCGGGUGUUCUUGGCAUUCCCAUCUCUCAAAAACACCCUUAGUUUCUGCCA
Molecule: long non-coding RNA, 3044 nt
Filed under: Homo sapiens (human)
Lineage: Eukaryota; Metazoa; Chordata; Mammalia; Primates; Hominidae
Description: HSALNT0334450
Source: RNAcentral